RNAcentral lists this ribosomal RNA (651 nucleotides) under Perenniporia fraxinea. RNAcentral describes it as "eukaryotic LSU rRNA". The stretch from base 240 to 393 matches the Rfam family "5.8S ribosomal RNA". The record is from RNAcentral. Lineage: Eukaryota; Fungi; Basidiomycota; Agaricomycetes; Polyporales; Polyporaceae.
UAACAAGGUUUCCGUAGGUGAACCUGCGGAAGGAUCAUUAUUGAAUUCCAAUUGGGUCAGGUUGUGCUGGCUGAAAAGCAAGUGCACGCCUGCUCAUAAGCAUUCAAACCUCUGUGCACCUUUCAUAGAAUAGCUUGUAGAUUGGGUGACCUGUGUCACUUGGUUUGCAGCUGCUCUGUGUUUUUACAAACUUAUAAAUUAGUUCAGAAUGUUUAUUGUGUAAAUACACAUUUUUAUACAACUUUCAGCAACGGAUCUCUUGGCUCUCGCAUCGAUGAAGAACGCAGCGAAAUGCGAUAAGUAAUGUGAAUUGCAGAAUUCAGUGAAUCAUCGAAUCUUUGAACGCACCUUGCGCUCCUUGGUAUUCCGAGGAGCAUGCCUGUUUGAGUGUCAUGGUAUUCUCAAUUCUCUAGGUCUUUUGUAAGACUCUGGUGAUAUUGGACUUGGAGGCUAUUGCUGGAACCUUGCAGGUACCUGCUCCUCUCAAAUGUAUCAGUAUGAAUGUUCACUUCAUGCUCAGUGUGAUAAUUAUCUGCACUGUGUCUGAGUGUCAUAAAUUCAUGCUUCAAACUGUCGUCAAGACAAUUCAUUUGACUUCUGACCUCAAAUCAGGUAGGACUACCCGCUGAACUUAAGCAUAUCAUGAACGGG